AAAUUUUAGUGGGUGUUUAUUAAUUUUUUCUAUCGAAUAUAUAAAAUUGAGCUCCUACACUUUUAAAAGUAUUAAGUCAUUAGUGUUUAUAGGUUUUCGGCUUUAAAUUAAAAAAUGUGCGGUUAAAAUGAUAGUGGUUUUCUAGAGUUGAGUGGGUGGUUGGUUAUAUAGUAUAAUCUAACGAAUAGAAACGAUAAAACAGGUAAAUCUAAUAGCAGAAAACUUAUAAGCACCAAGUGCUUGUUACAAGUAAUUAUUUCCUACUGUCUACAUACAGUUUUUCUUUUUUCCAAAGAAAAUUAAACCUUACUAAAAUACAAACA
This 323-nucleotide long non-coding RNA is filed under the name Ananas comosus (pineapple). RNAcentral describes it as "long non-coding RNA (ACOM_LNC015832)". Lineage: Eukaryota; Viridiplantae; Streptophyta; Magnoliopsida; Poales; Bromeliaceae. The record is from RNAcentral.